CAAGUCGAGCGGCAGGCGCGGGGGCGAACCCUGGCGGCGAGCGGCGGACGGGUGAGGAAUACAUCGGAAUCUGCCUUGUUNUGGGGGAUAACGUAGGGAACUUACGCUAAUACCGCAUACGACCGAGAGGUGAAANCGGGGGAUCGCAAGACCUCGCGCGAUGAGAUGAGCCGAUGUCGGAUUAGCUUGUUGCGGGGUAACGGCCCACCAAGGCGACGAUCCGUAGCUGGUCUGAGAGGAUGAUCAGCCACACUGGAACUGAGACACGGUCCAGACUCCUACGGGAGGCAGCAGUGGGGAAUAUUGGACAAUGGGGGGCAACCCUGAUCCAGCCAUGCCGCGUGGGUGAAGAAGGCCUUCGGGUUGUAAAGCCCUUUUGUUGGGAAAGAAAUCGUGCGGGUGAAUAUCCUGCGCGGAUGACGGUACCCAAAGAAUAAGCACCGGCUAACUUCGUG
This 455-nucleotide ribosomal RNA is filed under the name uncultured bacterium. RNAcentral's name for it is "bacterial SSU rRNA". It matches the Rfam family "Bacterial small subunit ribosomal RNA", at positions 58 to 507 of the family's 1533-position model. The record is from RNAcentral.